This 766-nucleotide ribosomal RNA is filed under the name uncultured bacterium. RNAcentral describes it as "bacterial SSU rRNA". It matches the Rfam family "Bacterial small subunit ribosomal RNA", at positions 620 to 1383 of the family's 1533-position model. The record is from RNAcentral.
GAGGGGAUGGNAACUGCUGAUCUAGAGUAUNGGAGAGGAAAGUGGAGUUCCUAGUGUAGCGGUGAAAUGCGUAGAUAUUAGGAAGAACACCAGUGGCGAAGGCGACUUUCUGGACGAAAACUGACGCUGAGGCGCGAAAGCCAGGGGAGCGAACGGGAUUAGAUACCCCGGUAGUCCUGGCCGUAAACGAUGGGUACUAGGUGUAGGAGGUAUCGACCCCUUCUGUGCCGGAGUUAACGCAAUAAGUACCCCGCCUGGGGAGUACGACCGCAAGGUUGAAACUCAAAGGAAUUGACGGGGGCCUGCACAAGCGGUGGAGUAUGUGGUUUAAUUCGACGCAACGCGAAGAACCUUACCAGGUCUUGACAUUGAUGGACAGAACCAGAGAUGGUUCCUCUUCUUCGGAAGCCAGAAAACAGGUGGUGCACGGUUGUCGUCAGCUCGUGUCGUGAGAUGUUGGGUUAAGUCCCGCAANGAGCGCAACCCCUAUCUUAUGUUGCCAGCACGUGAUGGUGGGAACUCAUGAGAGACUGCCGCAGACAAUGCGGAGGAAGGCGGGGAUGACGUCAAAUCAUCAUGCCCCUUAUGACCUGGGCUACACACGUACUACAAUGGGAGUUAAUAGACGGAAGCGAGAUCGCGAGAUGGAGCAAACCCGAGAAACACUCUCUCAGUUCGGAUCGUAGGCUGCAACUCGCCUACGUGAAGUCGGAAUCGCUAGUAAUCGCAGGUCAGCAUACUGCGGUGAAUACGUUCCCGGGCCUNG